GAGUUUGAUCCUGGCUCAGGAUGAACGCUAGCGGCAGGCUUAACACAUGCAAGUCGAGGGGUAUAGUCCUUCGGGACUAGAGACCGGCGCACGGGUGCGUAACGCGUAUGCAAUCUGCCUUUCACAGAGGGAUAGCCCAGAGAAAUUUGGAUUAAUACCUCAUAGUAUUAUGAAAGGGCAUCCUUUUAUAAUUAAAGUCACAACGGUGAAAGAUGAGCAUGCGUCCCAUUAGCUAGUUGGUAAGGUAACGGCUUACCAAGGCAACGAUGGGUAGGGGUCCUGAGAGGGAGAUCCCCCACACUGGUACUGAGACACGGACCAGACUCCUACGGGAGGCAGCAGUGAGGAAUAUUGGUCAAUGGGCGCAAGCCUGAACCAGCCAUGCCGCGUGCAGGAUGACGGUCCUAUGGAUUGUAAACUGCUUUUGUACGAGAAGAAACACUGAUUCGUGAAUCAGCUUGACGGUAUCGUAAGAAUAAGGAUCGGCCUACCUCCCGGCAACAGCCCG
This 508-nucleotide ribosomal RNA is filed under the name Flavobacterium denitrificans. RNAcentral's name for it is "bacterial SSU rRNA". It matches the Rfam family "Bacterial small subunit ribosomal RNA", at positions 9 to 517 of the family's 1533-position model. The record is from RNAcentral. Lineage: Bacteria; Pseudomonadati; Bacteroidota; Flavobacteriia; Flavobacteriales; Flavobacteriaceae.